This 17-nucleotide transfer RNA is filed under the name Neohenricia sibbettii. RNAcentral's name for it is "partial tRNA-Leu". The record is from RNAcentral. Lineage: Eukaryota; Viridiplantae; Streptophyta; Magnoliopsida; Caryophyllales; Aizoaceae.
AAGAGCCUCUAUCCCCA